RNAcentral lists this ribosomal RNA (560 nucleotides) under Yersinia sp. (in: enterobacteria). Its description in RNAcentral is "bacterial SSU rRNA". It matches the Rfam family "Bacterial small subunit ribosomal RNA", at positions 137 to 692 of the family's 1533-position model. Lineage: Bacteria; Pseudomonadati; Pseudomonadota; Gammaproteobacteria; Enterobacterales; Yersiniaceae. RNAcentral also lists the same sequence under 2 other names. The record is from RNAcentral.
AGGGGGAUAACUACUGGAAACGGUAGCUAAUACCGCAUGACCUCGCAAGAGCAAAGUGGGGGACCUUCGGGCCUCACGCCAUCGGAUGUGCCCAGAUGGGAUUAGCUAGUAGGUGAGGUAAUGGCUCACCUAGGCGACGAUCCCUAGCUGGUCUGAGAGGAUGACCAGCCACACUGGAACUGAGACACGGUCCAGACUCCUACGGGAGGCAGCAGUGGGGAAUAUUGCACAAUGGGCGCAAGCCUGAUGCAGCCAUGCCGCGUGUGUGAAGAAGGCCUUAGGGUUGUAAAGCACUUUCAGCGAGGAGGAAGGGUUCAGUGUUAAUAGCACUGUGCAUUGACGUUACUCGCAGAAGAAGCACCGGCUAACUCCGUGCCAGCAGCCGCGGUAAUACGGAGGGUGCAAGCGUUAAUCGGAAUUACUGGGCGUAAAGCGCACGCAGGCGGUUUGUUAAGUCAGAUGUGAAAUCCCCGAGCUUAACUUGGGAACUGCAUUUGAAACUGGCAAGCUAGAGUCUUGUAGAGGGGGGUAGAAUUCCAGGUGUAGCGGUGAAAUGCGUA